This 253-nucleotide ribosomal RNA is filed under the name uncultured bacterium. RNAcentral describes it as "partial 16S ribosomal RNA". It matches the Rfam family "Bacterial small subunit ribosomal RNA", at positions 524 to 776 of the family's 1533-position model. The record is from RNAcentral.
UACAGAGGUCUCAAGCGUUGUUCGGAUUCAUUGGGCGUAAAGGGUGCGUAGGCGGCGCGGUAAGUCGGGUGUGAAAUCUCGGAGCUUAACUCCGAAACUGCAUUCGAUACUGCCGUGCUUGAGGACUGGAGAGGAGACUGGAAUUUACGGUGUAGCGGUGAAAUGCGUAGAUAUCGUAAGGAAGACCAGUGGCGAAGGCGGGUCUCUGGACAGCUCCUGACGCUGAGGCACGAAGGCCAGGGGAGCAAACGGG